UAGUUGCGAACGGCUGAGUAAUCAAUAGGAAUCUUUCCUUUGGUGCGGAAUACCUCAUCGAAAGAUGAGCUAAUACCACAUAAAAUCUAUGGAUAAAAGCGCAUAACUGCGCGCCGAUUGAGGAGCCUAUUGCCCAUCAGGCAGUUGGUAGGGUAAUGGCCUACCAAACCUACGACGGGUACCCGAUCUGAGAGGAUGACCGGGCAGAGUGGGACUGAGACACGGCCCACACACCUACGGGUGGCAGCAACUGGGAAUCGUACACAAUGGACGAAAGUCUGAUGUCGCGACGCCGCGUGAGGGAUGAAGGCGUUUUCGUUGUAAACCUCUUUUGCCAAAGUAGAGAUACUUUGGAGAAUAAGCACCUGCUAAUCUCGUGCCAGCAGCCGCGGUAAUACGUAGGGGGCGAGCGUUGUCCGGAGUUACUGGGCGUAAAGCGUUUCUAAAGGCGCUUUUGUAAGUUAUCUUUUAAAUACCGAGGCUCAACCUCGGGAAGGGAGAUAAUACUACAAGAGUUGAAAUAUUUCGGGGUUACUAGAACUAUCGGUGUAGGGGUGAAAUCCGUUGAUAUCGAUAGGAAUUCCAAGGGCGAAGGCAGGUAACUAGGAAUUUUU
This 614-nucleotide ribosomal RNA is filed under the name uncultured bacterium. RNAcentral's name for it is "bacterial SSU rRNA". It matches the Rfam family "Bacterial small subunit ribosomal RNA", at positions 93 to 740 of the family's 1533-position model. The record is from RNAcentral.